Pogona vitticeps (central bearded dragon) is the source of this 703-nucleotide non-coding RNA. NCBI's taxonomy places the organism in Eukaryota, Metazoa, Chordata, Lepidosauria, Squamata, Agamidae. The record is from RefSeq and is a predicted model, not a curated record.
UGACCAAUGAUUGAACUCUGGAUGUUGGUAGGAUUUGUGCCUGAAAACCCAGGCUCCUUCGGGUUUUUUAAUCAGAUCAUUCAGAUUUCUUCUCCGGCACUGCUCCAUUCAUGAGCCUGGCGGGGGGACCUUCUGUGGUCUGAGGGAGAAGUGGAUCUAAAAACAAACCUGCCUUUCUCCAAAGGAAAGGGAAGCAGAAAGGGAUCUCAAGGAAGGUGAGGAAUCUCCUGGGAUGAAGAAGAAUAGAAGACAAAUUGGGGCGGAGUAGAGGUAGAUUUGGAUAUGGUGGCGGUGAAACCCUCCGAGAUGGACCAGGCUCCUUUUCAACUUGAACUGACAGAGCUCGGCAUAGAAAUCUGGGAAGAAGAGAUUGACGAGGAAACUGUUGUUUUGUACAAAGAACGGGUGACCCCAGAUGACAGUGAGAAACAUCUGUCGGAAGAUGGCCAACAGGUUGGAUCCCGGAGACCAUCAACGUGGGAAGGAGUCGGGCCUGCUCCAUAUGAAGAAGGUUGCGAAGGGCCUGAUGAAACGGCGCUUCAAAAAGUGAUUGAUGCGAAUCAAAAAAAUAGGCCCUCGAAUGGUAUAUGCACAAAGCUCCAGGCAGGAUUUCCCUCAUCGUUUCCAAGAGAGGACCACAGGACGGCAAGAGGGCCAUCCAGUAGAAGAAACGGGCUACUCCAUUCUUUCCAAAGCUCUCUGA